Molecule: ribosomal RNA, 497 nt
Filed under: uncultured bacterium
Lineage: Bacteria
Description: partial 16S ribosomal RNA
Rfam family: Bacterial small subunit ribosomal RNA
Source: RNAcentral
GAUGAACGCUGGCGGCGUGCCUAAUACAUGCAAGUCGAGCGAACAGGCGAGGAGCUUGCUCCUCUGACGUUAGCGGCGGACGGGUGAGUAACACGUGGAUAACCUACCUAUAAGACUGGGAUAACUUCGGGAAACCGGAGCUAAUACCGGAUAAUAUAUUGAACCGCAUGGUUCAAUAGUGAAAGACGGUUUUGCUGUCACUUAUAGAUGGAUCCGCGCCGCAUUAGCUAGUUGGUAAGGUAACGGCGUACCAAGGCAACGAUGCGUAGCCGACCUGAGAGGGGGAUCGGCCACACUGGAGCUGAGACACGGUCCAGACGCCUACGAGAGGCAGCAGUAGGGAAUCGUCCGCAAUGGGCGAAAGCCUGACGGAGCAACGCCGCGUGAGAGAUGAAGGUCUUCGGAUCGUAAAACUCUGUUAUUAGGGAAGAACAAAUGUGGAAGUAACUAUGCACGUCUUGACGGUACCUAAUCAGAAAGCCACGGCUAACUACGUG